This is a long non-coding RNA of Beta vulgaris subsp. vulgaris (sugar beet), 523 nucleotides long. RefSeq lists it as uncharacterized. The transcript is spliced from 2 exons. The record is from RefSeq and is a predicted model, not a curated record. Lineage: Eukaryota; Viridiplantae; Streptophyta; Magnoliopsida; Caryophyllales; Amaranthaceae.
CUCUCCCUCCUGUGUUCGUAUUUCGUCGCGGCGGUGUUGCUCGCAAGCCACCGUGGGUCUUGUUGCUGCUGUCGCCUUUGUUUCUCUCUCCUCCCUCGAAAUUCUCUCUCCUCUCGUCGCGCGUUUGUUAUGCGCCGCUAGUACUGCCGUGUUGUUGUUGCUCGUGUUCCCCUGUUUUGAUGUUGUUGCUUUGUCGGUGAUGUUGGGCGAUUGGAAUCACCACCGUGCUGCCCUGUCGUAUCUUAAAUGUUUCAUGUUGAAGCCGUGAGUUAUUCUUUUGCAAGUUGAAGCUGAUACGAGAUGAUGCAGUAUUAUAUUCGUUAUUGAAGUGAGGACGCUCCAUUUGUAAUAGUUAAUCGUUUAAUUUCUAUAACAUAUUUUCUUUAUUUAAGAAUCGCUAGCUAAGUGCUCCUGAUUCUCUGCUGGUUGUUGCUCCGCGAAAGCGUUGAGAUUGUUGAGCUUUGGGAUUUGAAAAUAUUUUAUUUAUUAAAAUUGUAACAGGUUCAUAUUAUUUUUCGCUUUA